RNAcentral lists this ribosomal RNA (305 nucleotides) under uncultured bacterium. RNAcentral's name for it is "bacterial SSU rRNA". It matches the Rfam family "Bacterial small subunit ribosomal RNA", at positions 336 to 658 of the family's 1533-position model. The record is from RNAcentral.
UUCCUACGGGACGCAGCAGUAGGGAAUAUUGCACAAUGGGGGAAACCCUGAUGCAACGACGCCGCGUGAAGGAUGAAGUAUUUCGGUAUGUAAACUUCUAUCAGCAAGGAAGAAAAUGACGGUACUUGACUAAGAAGCCCCGGCUAACUACGUGCCAGCAGCCGCGGUAAUACGUAGGGGGCAAGCGUUAUCCGGAUUUACUGGGUGUAAAGGGAGCGUAGACGGCCAGACAAGUCUGAAGUGAAAAUCCAGCGCUUAACGUUGGAAGUGCUUUGGAAACUGCCGGGCUAGAGUGCAGGAGGGGC